CACCGGCUUUGACGUCUCUGCCUGCUGGUCUGUUUCAGAUGACAAGUCCUCUCUGCACCACUCCAGGCCCCAGGCGCACACCCACACGGGGCCAGGCCUGUGCACACGCAGGCAGUCACGUAGCGGGAGGAGGCCGCCGGGCCCCCAGGGGAAGGCAGCCAGGCCCGGAUCCGGGGCAGCCUCCCAAGGGGCCUCUGGAAUGCACCGCCCACAGGGCAGUGACGAGGUCCCGGCUUCCUGUGGGACUCGGGCUGCCAGCCGUCUGCUCCCGGGGGACAGCUGGGACUCUGGACUGGAAUGCAGAGCAGGCAGGCGCCCUGGCCACGGGACUGCAUCGGCUGCCAGGCUGUCCUCUGUUUCUGCCCUGGCUGAAGGGGACAACGCCGUCACUUCUCCAAGUCACUGGGAAAGAGGGCAUGGAAGCCAGACAGGUCACAUGUGGGCCGCACAUCAGCCCCCACAUCCCCCACUGGGCGGUCGCCACCCCCCAUGCCCGGAGGGGUGUGCAAACCUGCCAAAGACCCGGCUGCCCUGGACUCAGACACCAGGUCUCACUUUUGAUGUGAAACCACCAUCCAUCUGACUUCGGGCUGAAAGUAAACAUAUUGCAAGAGUGUAAAUAAAAACUCCUUCCAGUGUGGCAG
Artibeus jamaicensis (Jamaican fruit-eating bat) is the source of this 644-nucleotide long non-coding RNA. RefSeq lists it as uncharacterized. The record is from RefSeq and is a predicted model, not a curated record. The transcript is spliced from 3 exons. Lineage: Eukaryota; Metazoa; Chordata; Mammalia; Chiroptera; Phyllostomidae.